RNAcentral lists this signal recognition particle RNA (300 nucleotides) under Chelonia mydas (Green sea turtle). Its description in RNAcentral is "Metazoan signal recognition particle RNA". It matches the Rfam family "Metazoan signal recognition particle RNA". Rfam says of the family: The signal recognition particle (SRP) is a universally conserved ribonucleoprotein. It is involved in the co-translational targeting of proteins to membranes. The eukaryotic SRP consists of a 300-nucleotide 7S RNA and six proteins: SRPs 72, 68, 54, 19, 14, and 9. Lineage: Eukaryota; Metazoa; Chordata; Testudines; Cheloniidae. The record is from Rfam by way of RNAcentral.
GCCGGGCACCGUGGCUCGUGCCUGUGAUCCCAGCUCCUGGGGAGACCGAGGCCGGCAGAUGGCCGGCGCUCAGGGGUUCUAGGCGGCAGUGGGCGGUGCCCAUUGGGUGACCUCACUAAGCUCUGCAUCGAUAUGGUGAUCCCUGGGAAGCUUGGGGUCACCAGGUUGCCUAAGGAGGGGUGAACCGGCCCCGGUCAGAAAUGGAGCAGGUCAGAACUCCCCUGCCAAUCCGUAGUGGGAUCGUGCUUGUGAAUAGCCCCUGCAGCGUAGCCUGGGCAAGACACCGGGACUCGGUCCCUU